This 134-nucleotide ribosomal RNA is filed under the name uncultured bacterium. RNAcentral describes it as "partial 16S ribosomal RNA". It matches the Rfam family "Bacterial small subunit ribosomal RNA", at positions 356 to 504 of the family's 1533-position model. The record is from RNAcentral.
GGGGGAUAUUGGACAAUGGGGGAAACCCUGAUCCAGCGACGCCGCGUGAGUGAAGAAGUAUUUCGGUAUGUAAAGCUCUAUCAGCAGGGAAGAAAGAAAUGACGGUACCUGAGUAAGAAGCCCCGGCUAACUAC